Molecule: long non-coding RNA, 1696 nt
Organism: Macaca mulatta (Rhesus monkey)
Lineage: Eukaryota; Metazoa; Chordata; Mammalia; Primates; Cercopithecidae
Source: RefSeq, a predicted model, not a curated record
CGAUCUAGGUGUGGUCAGGAUCCGGCUCAUCCUUUGGAGAGAGAGCACCUGCCCGGGGGCCCCUCUGAGGUGCAUAGUCGUGCAGUGCCCUCACAGGAUGCCCGGUCCUCCGAGAACUUCCUGCCAUUCCCCUGGACCCUCAGAACAGAAACCUGAAAAGAAAAUUCCUUUGCAUUAAGUGCUAUUUCACUGUGUGACAAUCAAUUUUUGAAGAAGUGGCUUCGUUGUGGAAAUGAUGUUAUUGCAGGCACCUAGAAUUUUAUCUCCUUCACUUCUACAAUGGGAAGCAAUUCUCCAACAAGCACAGGAAUCUGACUUUCUGAUAUUGAGACUCCUAGGCAUCAAGCCCCGUGGAAGGGUUGGUGAUUACGUGAGCGUUUGCGUUGGCGUUGAUGUGGGCACCCUCCAAGCCGGACGCAGGGAGCAGGGAAGAGCAGAACAGGCCCCUCAGGAGCCAUGAGACAAUCAAGUGUUGGCAGCAGUGGUGAGGGUUGAUGUCAGGGGCCAGGAGGAGGUGGCGAAGGGAGCAUGUGCCUCAAGGCAGCCCUGGAACCCGCAGUCCCUGUAGUGAGGUCUGGUCUGCAGGGGAUGUGGACGGCCACGUGGCGAGGCCCACAGACAGCCUGGACUUGGCUGCCUCAGAACUCUGGUGGACGUUGCAAACGGCCCCACAGGGUUGCAGUGCAUAUUCCUCGGACAGAGAAAAGACGCUUGAAACUGUUCCCGGCACGAAGCCAGCGCCCUGUGAACAGUGGCUCCUGCUGUCGUGACUGAGUGCCGUCCAACUGGGGGCAGUUGCUCUGCUCAGUUCACUUAAUUGGGCCAGGAAUGGGGUUGCCCUGCCUUCUACAAGCUUGACGCAUUGAACGAGGACUCAGUUGAUAAAGUACUCUGUAAAUAUGCUCUCCCGGCUAGAGUGAGCAUAAGCCCAGGGAGCGAGUGGUUCUUCAGUAUUAGCCAGGUGUUUGUGGUGGGGCCAGCUGUGCGGCUGCCAGAGCGAAUGUGACCAGGAAGCCUCUGUCCCCCCGGAGGUGGCCAGCGUUCCUGUUACACGUGCCGUAGGCAGAAGACAUCCACACGGAAGUUGUCCAGGCGGCUCUGGCCAAACCCAAAGAGCAGAAGAUGGCCGGUGCCUAUGCCUUCCAAACGCAGGUCCCUGGUCGUGCAGACCUCCAUGGACGCCUACACCCCUCCAGGUAAAAAGCUGAGCAAACUGAAAAAUCAGCAGUUCUUCUUAAACCUGCACGAGACCUGAGGUCACAGGCAAGCCACUGUCCGUAGAUUGGCUGGACAGGUAAAGCAGAUGAAUCACCAUACACUGGAGCACAAUGCUCCAAGGAACCCACACUGGGAUUGGAAAACCUGAACUGGAAUUGACAAAUUGCUGCAGUGAGGUGCGGCCACGUCUGAGAGUUAAAACCUCCAGGAGGCCUGUGCAUAUGGGUCUCAUGCUUUUGUGAGUUGUAUCAUCAGAAGCUCAACCAGGUUCGUGAAGUAAACAUCACAGAAAAAUCCCUUCAUACUUACUACAGGGGAAAGAGAAUAGGAAUCAUUUUUCAAUAUGCAGGUGCACUCUUCACUAGGUCUACCUUCCAGAGAAGCUAGUUAACUAGAGACUCACCUGGUGGGAUUUUAUCAGAGCCUUCUGACCUGGGGGAAAGGGAAAUACCCAAUUCCAACCUCUAGAACUGAAAAG